CAUACCCCCAAGAUAAAAGUCAGUUCCCCAGCGUCUGUUGUAGAUAGAAGUCUGCAAGCAGUGCUAUAAAAGAAAAUGGAAAAUUAUACAUCAUCGGACAGUGACUCCGAAUCUUUGAACAAGGUUUUGGAUUUUACCCACCAGCUAUUAGAAAUGGAAACUCUCGAAGACAACCUGGAAGUAUUUGUAAAUGACGAAAAAAGGACUGCAGAAGAAAUCGAAACUAUAAUUUUAAAUCACAAUCAUCUCGAAACGCUACCGUUCAAUUUAUUUAAGUUCGUUAAUUUAAAAACGUUGGACGUAAGUUAUAGUGGACUUAGCGUACUGCCGGACAUCUUCAAGCACACAUCCAUCACGACCUUCGUCGCGAAAAAUAAUCAUCUUUCAAACAAAUCGCUGCCGAAAACGUUCACAAUAAACGCCAAAGUGAGAGAAGUGAAUCUCAGUGGAAACGCGUUUAGUGCAUUUCCGGAACAGCUUCUCGAUUUUCCCAACCUAAAGUAUUUAUAUUUGGGCUCGAACCAAAUAACGGCGAUACCCAGAAAAAUAAAAAAAUUGAAAAGUUUGAACGUUCUGUGCAUGGGAGGAAAUUGGUUAGUGGACGUACCGGAAACGGUGGGCGAAUUAGUUAAUCUUCAAGCUCUAGUUCUUUGCGACAAUCGAAUAGACACGUUACCACCAAGUAUCGCAAGAUUAAAACACCUAAAGUCUCUUCUCUUGCAUAAAAAUUUGCUGAAGGCGUUACCGCCUGAAAUUGUCGGACUUAAAAAUCUGAACGAGUUAAGUUUGCGAGACAAUCCGUUGGUAGUGCGGUUUGUCAGUGACAUGAUGCAUGACCCAGGAAGUUUACUAGAACUAGCUGGCCGUACUAUCAAAAUUUAUGGGAUUGAGGUCAAACCUGGGGAUAUUCCUCAAACGUUAAUAUCUUAUCUAGAACACGCUCAUCGAUGCGUUAAUCCUCAAUGUAAAGGUAACGUUAAUUUUUCUUCUUUUCCUUUUUAGCGCAAUGAGAUGUGCGCCAAGUACCGUCCUUUUUGUUUAAAACGGUAAUUGACGUCACUAGAUUUGGUUAAAUCGUUUUCUAUUUUUGUCCAAAUACGAUUGGAUUGGUCUAGCAAACCCGUGGCACAUAAAAGAAAAUUCCCGCAUGGACAUGGGAAUAGAUGCUAAAUGGCGUAUUUUUCGACAAUCGUGUAGAACACAUAAAAUUCGUGGAUUUCUGUGGAAAAUAUCGCAUUCCGUUAUUGCAGUACUUA
Molecule: RNA transcript, 1256 nt
Organism: Photinus pyralis (common eastern firefly)
Lineage: Eukaryota; Metazoa; Arthropoda; Insecta; Coleoptera; Lampyridae
Gene name: leucine-rich repeat-containing protein 58
Exons: 4
Source: RefSeq, a predicted model, not a curated record